UGGGGAAUAUUGCACAAUGGGGGAAACCCGUGAUGCAGCGACGCCGCGUGGGUGACGAAGUAUUUCGGUAUGUAAAGCCCUAUCAGCAGGGAAGAAGAUGACAGUACCUGACUAAGAAGCCCCGGCUAACUACGUGCC
Molecule: ribosomal RNA, 138 nt
Filed under: uncultured bacterium
Lineage: Bacteria
Description: partial 16S ribosomal RNA
Rfam family: Bacterial small subunit ribosomal RNA
Source: RNAcentral